Molecule: long non-coding RNA, 7816 nt
Organism: Bombus huntii
Lineage: Eukaryota; Metazoa; Arthropoda; Insecta; Hymenoptera; Apidae
Exons: 2
Source: RefSeq, a predicted model, not a curated record
AGAGGAUGAAAGAGGAAGAGAAAGAAGGCAGGGGCUGAGCGAACUCAGGCUACUAUCUGUAAGAGUAAUUGGCCAUCAAAAAACUGCACCUUUAAUCGGACAUUAUCUACCCUUUCCCUCUAUUUAUCUUUCUCUCCUUUAUUUUCUCUUUUCUGCGUCGGCGCCGCGGCAAUAUUUGCCAAGCUCGACUUUUUAGUCCCUUUUAAUGCGUGCUCGUGGGCUGUUUCGUUCCGGUCGAUUGUUUGAAUAAGUAAUUAUUCGGGGAAACUGCUUUCCCCUGCUCUCUUUCUUUUAUUUUUCGAUUAAGAUGCGUAUCCGUCGUGGAAACUAAUUUACCUGCUGAUAAUUGCAGCAUUUAUUAGCCACUUCAGAUUACUGGAAGAUAAAGAGGAGUGGAGAUCAGGGAGCUAUCCGCAGUGAGCAUUUUAUCGCUUUAUUCUGCUGGUCACGCGGUAUAUAAAAUGUAAUCCCUUUUAAUACCGUGUGUUUUGAAUAAUCAUGUAAAUAGAAGGAAGACUUAGUAUUACACGUAAUAGCUUCUAAACUGGAAGAAGAAUUUUAAGUAGAAUAGACAUUUAUAGUCGGACAACGACGCGUGUUCCUCCGGAUGUUCACUGUCGCGGAUAAGAUCGAAAGCUUUCCGUCAAUUUGUCAUCAGAAUGUAAGAUCUGUUUAUAAAAGAAACUUUUAUCUUUACUUCUCUACCGUUGAUUUCUACUGUAGUAAAGCGCAGAGUACAAAUUGAGAUUAUACAAUCUGAUUCGAAUCUAAUCCAAACAAUUUCAAUCACCUGCGAACCGACAGUGUCAGUGGAGAAAUAAAAUACGCGGAGUAAAAUACGCGCGAAAAAGAAAAACAAAAUAAAUAUACGAUAUAGAUACGAAUAUACAAAAAUAAACACGAUAAAACGUAUUACUACCGGGUGUCAAAAGUGAUAAGAAGUUGUUGAAUAACCUUGAUAUUUAAGGCACUGGCAGCAAACUCAACAAAGUCUGCUAUCUCCCAAACAUAUUCGACGCUAACAAACGAGACAGUUCCAAACGUAAUAACAUAAUGGUUUCUAAAAAACUGGCAUCCUAACCGACACCGAAUUAAGGCAAUUCGCAGAAGGCACGAUGAGCACGAGGCUAAGCGUGGUAGAAGUACUAUAGUCCGGAAGAUGAGGAAACGCUGGUCCCCUUUGGUUGAACGAGCCGGAGGGUGGGACGUAUGAAUGAAUUCUCUGUCAGCCUUUUAUCGUCGAUUCUUCAAAUCUUUCUAUACAUAAAACUGUCCCAGCACACGCAAAGGGCGGAUGAACCGUGAUACACUUCGGUGCGUCUACACUGUCGGUCAAAAGUUAGGGAUCACCUGUUUCGAGGUUGCAACUACCUCGUUGGUUUCCAUCCACGAACGAAUCGACAGAAAUUGUCAGAAAUAAUUAUCAGUAGAAAUAUUACCUAACAGCGAACAUUAUUCUUUUUACGUUCGUAAGAUAAAGAAAUAUUUUGUAAUUCGACUUUGACUAGAAGAUCGUUGAUCGACUAAAGUAGACCAAAAGGUUAUCGAUUAAAUGAAUGAUAAGCGCAAACAAUAAUCUAUUCUCGUUUUUUAAUCCAUUGUCGUGUUUAUGCGCGUUGUUCUUUGUGUCCCAGUUCUUUCGUUGUCAGCAUAUUUUAUAGGUCAAGAUAAGGAAAAAAUGCCAUAUAAGUAUAUGUCAUUGAAAACGUUGUUAAAGAGUUGCAGUAAAAAAAAAAAAAAAAAUAAAGAACGACGUACGAAAUGAGCGAUACCGAACGUGCAUUGCCGCCGCACAAAGUACGAAUAGAUCAGGGACAUUUACAUAUAGUAAUAAUCUCAAGGUAUCAUAAUACUUGUACGACUUCAACUUCAACGCAAUAAACGAGAACUGCGAAGAAUAACAAAUUCAAUCUUUUGCCGCUGUCACUCUUGUAUUGACAGGAAUGGUAAUCAUUUUGAAAUGGAGUUGUAGCUGGAUCUAUAGAAGAAGUAUUGAACAUAAUGCUUCGUGACUACUACUGUAUGUAAAUAUGCCUGAUCUAUUCUUAUCUCGUGCCGUAGCACGUUCGUUACCGCUCAUUUCGUAUACCGCUUUUCCUUCUUUUUUUUUUUUUAUUAUAUCUCCUUAACAAUGCUACCAAUGACAUUUAUUUUACAUAUUUUAUUUUUACAUUUUGUAUCUUGACUCGUCGUCUUGUCUUGUCCUGUGGAAUAUAGCGACAACGUUUGAUCGGAAAAAAUUGGGACAUUCUGUAUAAAACUAUCCAAACAAUACACGUUUCCGCUAUUGAACAAUUGAACGUAUCAUUGUUUGUUGUAUUAUCAUUGUUUGAAAUUGUAUAUUUCAUGGAUGGAUAAAUGUAGAUUUUAGGAAAAACCACGUAAUUUACGAAAGUAGCGUAAUAUAACGUAAAGAUAUAACGCGUUGUAAUGUAAUGUAAUGCAGGGUGGUUGGUAACUGGCGGUACAAGCGGAAAGGGGGUGAUUCUACGCGAAAAAAUAAGUCGAAAAUAUAGAAUAACAAUUUUUCGUUCGAGGCUUUGUCUUCGAGAAAAUCGACUUUGAAUUUUGGCUCGGUACGCCUGCACUUUAUCGCGUCUCGUUAUAACGGAUCUCACUGUAGAUCGUUGUCUCGAUUGACGUUAUUUUUUUAAUUUUUUAAAUUUUUAUUCUACAUUUUCGACUUCUUUUUUCGCGUAGAAUCACCCCCUUUGCGCUUGUGCCACCAGUUACCAACCACCCUGUAUAAUGCGAGGACUAACGAUACUGUCGAAUAAUUUCAAUUUAUAAAAUAAAUUUAAUAAUUGAUAAAAAGAUAAUCUUUCUCAGCUACUAGAGAAAAGACUCGCUGCCAAGAUCACGUUACACGAGUUCUUAUUUUCGAGCUACUUGAUGCCUAACUUUUGAACGAAAGUGUAUAGCAAAGCGGCUACCGGUAAAGAAAGGUCCGUUCUUUCUCCUGUGCGCGCGAUAACGAGCUCCUACAAUUUCCUCGAGGUACAAGAACAUGAAAGAAGAAAGGAGGAAGAGAGUAUAAUUUCUGAUUGUGGGCUUAAUAAUGGGCCUCUGGAAUAAUCUCCUCCUCCGUUGGUUGGUUCGUUUAGUUACGCCUUGCAGUUCGAUCCUUUUCGAUCGAACGGGGUUACCCGGAACCGGAAAUUACGCUAUUCAGCCUCCAUUAUCUCCGUCAUUUAGUUUUUCUAACGUGUCGACAAUCACCGUUUUAUAUCGAAGAACGCGUAUAGUUCGCUUUAAUUACUGCGAAUCGUGUCGUUAUACCAAGUUAGUGGAUUUGUGACGAUGGGAUAUUUCUGAUUGCGAUAUCAUAUUGAUUAAAUAUCGCUCGUAUCGAAUAAAAGUAUCAAUAAAUAUCGAUAAGCCGAUAAUAAAUUAAUAAACCUCCUCGCUUAAUUUAUUUGCACGUUAAGUUUUAAUGGGAAAAACGAUAUUUAUUCUCUGUUACGGUCUCUAUAAUUCUAUAGUAUGGACAUGCCUGUAUAUAUAUAUAUAUAUAUAUGUUUAUGCUGCAUACUUAUCAUUGACAUUUUGAUAUUAUGCAUCGACUUUCACGCAUAAUUAUAUAUGGCAAAUUAUUGUACAAAGUGGUUAUGUAUCAACUUUCACGCGUAAUCGUAUAACGUUGCGCGUAUUUGUGAAUGCGUUAAAAAUACUGCCAGUUCCGGUAAAAAUGCUAAUGAAAAUUACGUGUCAUUAUCCUGUUUUAUGCGUCCGGUAUAAUUCCAGCAACAUAAACAGAUCAUGAUAUUAAUAUUCAUGCCAUCUUGCCUUUUUAUGGAGCUGCCAGGCGUUAUAAAAGUUUGUAAUUAUAACUGCGGGCUUGAUACAAUUUAUUAAAUCCUGUUAAAUAUUCAAAAGAAAAGGAAAGAAAGUGGCGAAACGCGUGAUUCAAAUGUUUAUUAAGAACGUUAAAGCGGAACACCUUGGCAUAAACGCGAAAGCUUUAUCAAAAGCUCAAACUAAUCGCAACUGUCUCUUGCGUUGUAAGUCGAACACUUUUGCGCUCGAAUGUUUCUUUUUCCAUUUUUCCUUGAAAAUUAGCGCAACGAUUCUCUCCGAUCGAAUAACUCAUUCCACGCUGAUUACAAGAUGAUCAUUCUUGCAACAAGUUGUUUCUUCCCUGUCAAACGAUUUAUUCGAAUACAAUGAAACACAAUUAAAAUUCUUUUCAUUUUUCCGUUUCGUUGAAAAGGAUUACAAUACGAAAUCAUUCAAACGUAAAUUGUGAAUUCAAUGUCAAUACCAAUCGAAUUAUUUUUAUUAAAAUACUCGAUAAGGGCAAAAGCCCUUUUUAUUUUUAUUGUCCAAUUCUGACAGUCUACGAUAUAAUAUAACGAUCAUAGUCAGAAACAAGGCGUCAUUUUAUUCAAUUAUUCUAAUAAAUGAAAUAACGAUGAAGUAUACCGAAAAGCGAUAUUCGGAAAGGGGACCCAUAAUUACACGUUGAAAACCGGAAGCUUCCAGCCGAACGCAUACUCCCUUCCUGUUCUUUAAAUCGGCAAGCAAAGAAUUACACGCUUCCAGAAAAUUAUACGCUACCUACAAGCUUCUACAAUCGAAGAAUUAUACUCCAAAAUUAUAGAGUGCGUCGACUGUAUAGCGACCUCCGCCUAACCGCAGAUAAAUCACUCUUGUUAAAAGCUGGACGUGUUUUGACAAAUGGAACGAUUUCGGCAGAAUCGAUUUUAGACCUACAGCGAAAGAACAGAAGAAGAAUUGUCAAUUUAUAUCGGCUGUUUUGGAACUACGAGUCGUUGAAGUGUAAUAGAAGUAGCGAUGGGUGUAAGCAUCUCAAAAAGUAUGUAGCAUCGAACAUUGACCGAUUAAAUUUCAAUCACGUACAUUAGAGAUAUUUUAAAAUUAUAAAACAAUUUUUACAGCAUACACAGUUUUACAAUUAUAAAACAACGAUUUAAAGCUUUAGCUUGAACGCGAUUAUUUCUUACGGAAUUUUUGAAUAUUUAGCUCUUAGAAUUCCUGAAUAGUCGAGUCUUUGAAUUUUUUUAGUAAGACACUAGGAAACGUGGAUUUGUCUAAUGUGGAAAUAACAAAAAGUAUCAGAGGAGGAACAUUACCUGGAAGAUAUUUCACUAUUUAUGAUGUGACUUCCUGCUUGAAAUUACAAAAAGAAAAAAAAAACACUUGGAAGAAAAAUUGGAUAUGUCGUUUGUGUAAUAAAUUGCAAAAUAUUUCUCGGAACGUAAGGAAACAUCAAAAUGCUUUAUUAUCUCGACGCGUUGAAUUUUUAUUGAUUCUUUCGUUAAUAACACAAUUCGCAUGCAAACAACGUUGACUCGUGUAAUUAAUAUGCAAGCGCUUGUCUAUAUGUGAAGACGGUAGUACCACGAUCAAUUACAGCCUAGCAAAAGACGUCAAUGUCAAUCAGCUAUAAUACUCGUGGCAAAAGUCUACGUUUGCGUCAGGGACUACUAGCUUUAGCCCUUUCAUCGCUACAAAACCGUAUGUGAAUUAGAAGUAUGUUCGCUUUGAUUCAACGACCUAAAUACAUACAUUAUUGGACUAAAAAGAACUUACAUACAACUAUUGCCAACUACAAUUCGCGCAAUUCAUGUUACUCUGUACGAAGAAACGUAUGCCAUCCGUGCCAAAAUGUAUUGAUGAAUUACGAGAAAAUGGGAAUAAGGAAAGUACUGUUCGAAGAUAGAAUCAAAUGUCAGUAGCUGAAAUUUACAGUUAACGAUUGGAAGCAUUACAAAUACCAUUAACACUACCGGUAGAACUUUUACAAUUUUAUUUGAAAAUUCAAUGACGUAAUGACUUUCGCAAUGAUAACUAAAAAGAAUAAUAUAAUGAAUUUUAUUUUGUUUGUUAUGUAUUCAAACUGAAAAUAAUUUUGUAUCAAGGCUACUUAUAACAAUACCAGUGAAAAUGACUGGUACUUGACAAAGUGUAAAAGGGUCCUGCAAUCUGUUUAUCGAACUACAAUUAACUAGUUUCCUCGUUUCGUACAACUUGCCACACGUUUUUAAAAUUUAUACUGCUUAUCGUUCGACAUGACGAUAUCAGUUAUCAGGAAAAUUGCGGAUCGAUCGCUAGAUCGCUAGAUGCUAACGCUAGAAAUACCACACUAGUUAAAACGACUGGUUCUACAAUUUUAUAAAUGUGUCAACCUUCGUUUAGAGAUCAUGGUCCCAGAUGGAUUAAUAAUACGAAAAAUGUACUACGUAACAUGGAGUUCCUUCUGUAAGAAAGUAAUAAAUCGAAAAAUAUAAAAAUAUUCUAUUAUUACGUAUUUUUAAAGGCCAGUCGUUUUCACUGGUUGUGGUAGAAAUAGCUUCGUGUUAACUAUCGGUAGUUCUAGUGUUAAUACAAAAACAAUGGAUAGUUCUAGUUCUAGUAAACAAUGUACAAUAUGUUAUUGAUAUAUGAUUUACUACACUAUAUAUUAUAUAUAUUUAAAUAAUAAAAUAAAAAUAGUAAGAUGAAAUAUUAGAUAAUAUAGUAAUGAAUACCAUACAAAGAUUUUUACUUUUACAGUUACAUGAAUAAAUUACAUAAAUAAUACUAAAAACAUUGCAUAUAUAUUAACGCGUAUUAAGUGUACAAGCGAAUAACGAAUAAUUUUUCAGUACAAGUUAUUAUUUAAAAGUGUUUCACACAACAAGUUCCACCACGGUAAAAAUGUUGUGCUUUUUAGCUUUUGCUUCCAAUAGCCAGGGCACUGACAAAGGAGAACGUACUGUGAAAUUGCUACGUGACAACGCCAGACCACACACUGAUUCUACGACGGAAGACAUCACGAGGAGUCUCGUUUGAGACACGUCUCGCAGCUGUCAGUUUAUUCACUAGACAUUACACGAUUCCCGAUUACUACGUACUUGUUCCGAUCGAUUCAACGCACCUUUAUCCGAUACAUCUUUUCAAUUAUAGAUACAGAAAUCACUUGACAAUGGGAUCUUGUCCAAAGACACAGCAUCUUUUCACGAUGAAAUCCGUCACUUGCCUGAAACAUGGCUUAAAGUUCUAGAAAGCAACGACGAAUAAUACUUUAACCUUCCGCCAGCGAUAUGGGUCGCUGAGUUGCAGGUGAAACUUUCAUUGUCUAAUUUCUCCGAAACGAAGGUGUCGGACUUUGUGAUUUCCACACCUGAAACACCUUACACCUGCCAGGCUUUCACCGCCCAAAUAUUAUUGUUUACUUCGUUGAAUCCGAUUCAGAAUUUUAAUUCUGAAACUUCGAAGGUAAAGUGAGCAUUGUGCGCUAUUCAACGACUCGUAUUGUCUGUCUUUUGGUACGUGAAUUUGUUUAUAUAUUUUAUUUCUAUUCAUUGGUUUUCCGUCCCCUUUUUGCAGUUAUUCAUGCCGAGGAUUCGAACUCGCGACGCGUCGUCUUCAGUUCUGGGCCUUAACGAGCGUAGCUGGCUGCCUAUUCAUUUUAUGUAUCUUCUAACUUCUUUGCAAUUGUAAUAAAUUAUUGUUUGCAAUUUUUCAAUUGAUCCUUAUAAAUCGUUAUCAAUUUUGAUAAUUGCAUGAAUAAAUAAUCUACCCAAAAAUCCCGGAAACUCGGGUCUCAGAAUAAUUGUACUUUCCAAAGGAUUUGCAAAUUUUUUCAUACUUUUUCGAAAAAUCGUACAUGUAUAAAACCUCAGAAUAAUUUCUUUAGAUCACAUUUAUCACGAAACUUCUUACCUCCAAGCGAAUUCCUAUUUUUUCAUAACUCUCCGUUAGAUCUUCGCUUUUAUCGCAAAAAGUUUUAAACAUUUGGCUGCAGCACCGCUUGCAUAGUAAAUUAGGAACUAUAAUACGUACCCCGGAACUUGUUCAGAUUUCUCUAAAA